RNAcentral lists this long non-coding RNA (6332 nucleotides) under Nicotiana tabacum (common tobacco). RNAcentral describes it as "long non-coding RNA (NTAB_LNC002904)". The record is from RNAcentral. Lineage: Eukaryota; Viridiplantae; Streptophyta; Magnoliopsida; Solanales; Solanaceae.
AGCAGCUCACCACUAAGUCUCCGGGUAGCGAGGGUACGUGCGUGACUGGCCACCAGAUGCACCUGCCUCAGAUCCUGCAAGAUUAUUGCAGAAGUGUUGCGUGAGUACAUAAACAACAUAUAUCCAGUAAGUAUAUAGUCUAACCUCGUAGAAGUAGUGACGAGGGGUCGACAUCGACACUUACUAGAGGUCAAUAACUAAAGUGUAGAAGUCAUAAGUAGGCAUGAAAUACAACAAUAACAGUGAAAUAAGAAACAGUAAUUAGUAAUUCUUAAACAUAAUAUCAAUUUAAAGCUUCCAACUAUCACAGGCCAAGUCUUUAACACAUAAGAGCCACCAAGUAAUUCUCAAGUCUCAAAUCAAGAAGGAAAUAUCAAGUAUAUUCGGACUCCGAGCAAUAUCAUGCACGAUUUAUGCCGAGUUCGUACGGCCCGAUCCGGAAUAGUGUGUACGCUGCCGAGGGUCGACCGGCGUGAACCAUAGAUGCAAAUAAUAUAAUGCCGAGGCAUUCGGACCGAUCCACAAGAAUAGAGAAUACUCCACAAACUCCGAUCAAUGACUACUACAUAGGAAUAAUACUUAAAGAAGGCAUAAAUUACGCUAACAAUCAAGUGUUCCGUCAAAACUCAAGGUAAUGAAGCUCAGUCUUUUACAAUCCUUUAUCCAAUUUUGAUUAUAAAUUCAGAUAAUUACACUAACAAGUUUGGUGCAAAUAAUACGAGUAAUACAUGGUAAAGUCCUAAUUGUACCUGGACAUAAGCAUGAUUUUAGCUACAUACAGACUCUCGUCACAUCGUGUGUAUGUAGCACCAACAAUUAUUCGCAAAUAACCAUUUAAAAUACCUACGGGGAUCAUUCUCUCUUAUAAGGUUAGGCAAGAGACGUACCUCAUUUCCAAGUCCUCUUCCUGGUUCACAAUUCAAACUGAUAGCCUAAAAUCGGUGCCGAGCAAUCCAAAACUAGUCAAAGGUUGUACAAACUAAUCAAUAUAUACUUAAAAGUUUAUAAUUUAACUAUUAGACUAAUUACCUAACCCAAUUUGGAAAAUUCUUAAAAUUCACCCUCGGACCCACGUGCUCGAAUUCCAGAAUUUUUUGUAAAAAAAUAUUACCCAUAACCUCACAAACAUAAAUAUAUAAUUUCUACUCAAUUUCAUAAUCAUUUUCGUGGUCUGAUCCCAUUUUUAUCAAAACCUAGGUUUUUCAACAAACUCCUAAAAUUUUCACUUUUUACAUGUAAAAAUCUAUCCAUAAUCUAUGUAUUUAACUUACAUUAGGUAGGAAUCACUCACCUUAUAGUGCUUGAUGAAAACCCCUCACCAAGAAGCUCCAAAUUCGGCCAACACAAUGAGAAAUGGGAGAAAUUAGCCCAAGUCCCAACUUUUAAUCAAGACACUACCUAGCGAUCCUUCUUCACGAUCACGAAGGCAAAGCUUGCCCAGGCCCAGGAACUCUUCAUCGCGAACGCCAAGGCAGUCUCACGAUCGUGAAGGCUUGCCCAGCCUGAGUAUCGCGAACGUGGUCUGACCUUUGCAAACGCAAAGGGUAAUGGGUGCUGACCCCUCCCAUGUCCCUUUCUUAUACGCGAACGCGGACCUGGCCACGCGAACGCAAAGGCCACAGGUCCUGAAGCUUCACGAAUGCAACCAGUUGAUCGUGAACGCGAUGAGUAAAUUACCCAGUCCCCCAAUUCCUUCUCUGCGAAUGCGACACCACCUCCGCGUUUGCAAAGAAGGAAACCAGAACCAGCACAUCAAUACUUUUUUACUUAGCUCUGGGCGAUCCGAAACACACCCGAGCAACCCGGGAUCCCGUCCAAAUGCAUAACCAAGUCCAUAAACACAUAAGGACCUACUUGAACCCUCGGAACACGUAAAACAACAUCAAAACUAAGAAUUGCACCCCAAAACCAAAUUGAAUCAACUUAUGAAUUUUAAACUUUUCAACUAGCUCUGAACGCGUCGAAUCAUACUUAGACAAGUCGGAAUGACACCAAUUUUUUCAUACAAGUCAUAAAUUACCAUACGGACCUAUUCCGAGACUCAGAAUUCCAAACGAACCUCGAUAAAGCCAAAGUCUACUUCAAACCAAAUUUAAAUAACUUGAAAACAUUCAAUGUGCCAACUUUCAAUAUUAAGUGUCGAAACGCUCCUGGAUCACCCCGAAACUCGAUCCCAACACACGCCCAAAUCCAAAAUCAUCAUACGAGCCUAUUGUAACAAUCAAAUUCCGAUUCCGAGGUCGUUUACUCAAAAUAUUGACUCAAGUCAAACUUGAACAUCUUAGGCCACUAUUAAGGAACUAAGUGUUCCGAUUUCAACCUGAACCCUUCCAAACCCAAACCAACCAUCCACACGAGUCAUAAAAUAGUAAAAGCAUAUACGAGGAGUCUUAAUUAGGGGAACGGAGAUUUAGAAAGCAAAACGACAAGUCGGGUCAUUACACAUGACUUGUACUACCAAUCAUUGGGUUAUUAUAUAGAAAUUCAGUUAUUUCACUUAUUGGUUCUUAUUAAUUUCAUUAUAAUUGUGUUCACUGUUAUUUAGCUUACCUAGCGGGUUAGGUUAGGUUCCAUCACGACUAGGUGGAUUUUGAGUCGUGACAAGUUGGUAUCAAAUCACUAGGUUCAUAGGUUCUACGAGUCAUGAGCAAGUGUCUAGUAGAGUCUUGCGGAUUGGUAUGAUGACGUCAAUACCUAUCUUCGAGAGGCUACAGGGCAUCUAGGAAACUUCCCUUCUUUCCUCAUCGUGCGGCUUUGUUUCAGCUUGGCGCUUAUAUCUUUGAUUUCUUCCUAUUCACUCGUAUGCGAUGUUGCGCACUCGGUAUCAGCUAUGCGCUGACGGUUUGUGAUGUUGUGGAUGGACUACGAAUGGCUAUGGAUGCUUGAUUAUAGCUGCGAUAUGUCGUCUAGUCUUGGAAGGGGAUUCAGUGGUAGAUCUUUCGAUUGUUCAAUUGUGGGAAGCAACGGAUUCUUGUAUCUGGUUGGUGAGUAUGGAUUCGGAAGGAUUAAUUUGUUUUCUAGUGGUUGUGACCAUGGUAGGGUCAUGGGGAGAUGUUGAUUUGAGGCUAGCCGGUAGGAUUUGAGGUUGUGUGAUUCAUAUGAGGCUUGAGGAAGUUGGCUUGACGGUCACUAGGGUGAGUAUGUACUUGGCAGAUUCUUUAGAGUGUUUUAUGACCAGAGUCGCAUGGGUUUAUGAAGUAUUCAGCUGAUUAACAGUGCGACUGUUACACCCUAUUUUGCACAAGUCAAAACAAACUACAACUUAUAUUACUCUACAAGGUUAAUUGGAGUUUAGAGUCGCCACCUAGUAUUUAAGGUAUACUAGGACACCUAUACUAUACUACGUAAUACACUUUAAUUAUGGAUUGCGAAACUAGUUGAAAUUCUAGGUAAGGGUUCAAAUUAUCUCGAGGGGAAGAUGUUAGGCAUCCCUCAAGAUCCGCAAAAAAUGUGGUUCCGGUGGACUCGACCAAAUAAAUAAGGGAUUAAGUCAAGAACAAUUAAUUUAAAUAUUUACGAAGAAUUAUAAAAAUAAUUUGAAAAAGAUUGACUAAACACAAGUGUCAUAUAAUAAAAAUAUAUUUAUGUAUAAUAAAAUAUGUAUGAAGAGUGUGGAUGAAGUACAUGAAAAUUUAUGUUUUUUGAUGAUUUAAUAAAUGUACAAAAUAUGUAGCGACAAAUAAAGUAUUUAUAAAUUAAUAUAAUGAAUGUAAUAAAGUAUACACUUGAAAAGAUUUGAUUUAUGUCCAAGGUCAUUUUGAUAAAAUGAAUAAGAUACCGAAAAAGACAUGUUCAAAAUAGUUGAUUAAAAUGAGUAGAAAAAAGAAUUAUAUUUGAAAAUCCUCAUAUGAAUGAAUAAUGACUUUAAAUGAUUUAUUUAACAAAUGAGAAUCUAUAAAAAAAGUUAUCAAAGGAUGAAUAUAAAUAAAAGAUUGAAAGAAGUAGAGAAAUAUAUUUUACACAACCAUGUAUUCUAAAAAUUUGAAUUACUUUGAUGAGAUGCAAAGAAAACUUACAAUUGAAGCUAUCAUGCCAAACCACAUACCAAAUCUAUUAACUUAAAAAUGAGAAGGAAAAGAAUCUAACAUCUCGCAUGAUUAUGUUAUGCUAAACUUCUUCAAAAGUCAUACUUAGUCGAAUUUAGGUUAACAAAAUACCAUUCACAAGUAAGUUGUUUCAACAAGCAUGCUAGUAUAAAUUAUUUACUGUUAGGAAAGGAUUAUGUCAUACUAUUAUCUAAUCCAGAACUAAUUUAAUUAGGAAAGUGUACACCUAUCUAGAUUAACCAUACUAUAGAAUAUAUUCAACCUAGAUAUAUAUGCACAAAUUUUAUAAAUUACCCAACGCACAACAUUGCAAUUUAAGUCGAUUAUUAACUAUAUGCACUUCACCCUAAGUGUUUAGCAAAUAAAUAAUAUUGAAAACAAGCAAGCAUAAUAUCUAUCUAUGAUUUUACUAUGUUUUGUGUUUUGAGUACAUCCAAGAACGGAAAGUACGAAGCGAGAAAUUUGACGGAGUUCGUCUUCGUCUCCGAGAAUCAUCUUUCCAAAGAGUUUCAGAUAAAGUAACUCACAAGAUAAGAGAAAUGAAAUUGUUAGUGAAAUAAUAUAACGUAAAAGAUAAACUAAUAAAGUGACAUGUUUUUGAAAUGGUUUUUGUUUUUAAAUAUAUUUUGAAAAUUGCUCUUGAAAAUGUUUUUGUUUUUUAAAGAUUGUUUGAAAAAAUAUUUUGGAAAAGGUUUUUUGAAAAAUAGUUUUAAAAUAUUAUAGGAAGCUCAGAUGUGUUUUUGAUUUCCGACUAGAUAUGAGAACGGGAACCGCUUGGUUCCGACUAUGGUGGCUGACCGUGUCGCCCUCCAAAGAUUAUUGGUCCGUCGCAUUCUCGUUUUUUAUUUGUCCGUCGCAUUCUCGUCUUUUAUUUUACGAUUUUACGAUGUUUAUCAUCAUCGCCUCUUUAUUUCGGGAUUUCGGACCCGGUCCGGAAGAUCAUUUUGGGGGUCGCGGCCUCAAAAAAUUGUUCUCAUCGGCCGGGUAGCAUCUGGUUCAAAAUCAGUUUAACCAACAAUAUACAUCACAAAACCCCAAAGUUUUUAUUCUAACAGAUUAGUGCCAAACAGUAUAGAAUAUUCAAACACUAUCCGACUCAAAGGGGAAAAGGCAGCAAACGACAAACAAUUAUCCAAGCUCAACCAAAAAUCCCAAAUUGCAACAGUGGCGUGAUAUAAAUGAAGAGAAGCGAAUCCCCCAUCAUAACCCCAAAAUAAACGUAAUCUUGGGUACACAAAGUGUCGCAUAAAGGUACUGUGACGACUCAACAGAAGCAAUGAAGUAUGGUUCUAAUGGCAACAAAAAUUCGGUGAUCAAAAACAAACAGCCAGCCAAUCACAGGGAACGGAAAUUCCAGCAACACGAAGGUCCCAACAAAUGUUUCCAGCAUUCAAAAGGCAUUUAAACAUUAGCCAUAACAGUCCAACUCCAAAGCGGCGAAACAGUGAACGAAAAAACAUAUGAGUCGUCGGAGCUUAAGUUCGCCGGCCAGAUAUAGGCAGCAACAAGAAUCAAAAAAUGGUGAUAAACAGUCGCGUCUCUCGAUGGAAAGAAUGCCUGAGACGGAGAUACAAUACCAGAAAUAGUGCAAAGGUCACCGGAAUAAGUCUCGGGCUAAGUUUCGGGGAAUUUCCGACCAAAGCCCGGUGAGAUUCGAGUCCGUUUCACAACCUGUGAGGAUGUAAGCAAAGAGAGAAGCAGAAGAUUAAACAAAUAUAAGUCCAGAUCUGCCGGUUCAUGGAGUUUGCCGGAUAACAUGUACAUCACCGAAACUCGUCUUUCCGGCCAGAUCUGACAGUCCCAAACAGACCUCUGACGACCUCUGUUCAGAUCUGCCGGUGGCGAUGAAAUUCAAGAGAGAGAGGGGAAAUGACGGCCAUCCAUCAGUGGUUAGUAUUGCCGGCGUUAGUGUCUUUCCAAGCCAUCGCCGGUGGUCAAAUUCGGCGGGCGGUAGAGGAACGGCAAAGGGGAAGGUGGCCGGUUCUCCAGUUUGGAGAUAGAUGAGAGGCUUCUAAAAUUAGGGAGUGCGGCUAUUGUUGAGAGAGUGAGAGGGUGAGAGAAGGCUGAGUGUUAGAGAAAAUGAGAGGGAUUAGGGUUUUCCUUUUAUUUGACAAGGUUUUUUGAACACAAAGGAAAAAUACAUAAACUAGAAUAUGUGAUGCUCAUUUUUUGUGAAAUAAAAGAUAAAUAUAAAAGAAAAUAUGUGGUUCAUAUGUAAAAGAUGUCAUGUCAUAUCAGCAUGACUUGUCACAUCGUAUAUUGACAGGACAUUAAAUUUGAUCGGAC